GACGAACGCUGGCGGCGUGCCUAAUACAUGCAAGUCGAACGCAGUGGGGACGGGUGAGUAACCCGUGGGUCACCUCCCAUCAGAGGGGAUAACACUUGGUAACAGGUGCUAAACCGAUACUGAUGGAUGAACCCGCGGUGCAGUAGCUAGUUUGUGAGGUAACGGCGAACCAAGGCAACGAUGCAUAGCCGAGCUGAGGGGGGGAUCGGCCAAACUGGGACUGAGACACGGCCCAAACUCCUACGGGAGUCAGCAGUGGGGAAGCGUCGGCAAUGGACGAAAGUCUGACCGAGCGACGCCGCGGGAGUGAAGGAGGUUUGCGGAUCGUAAAACUCUGUUGUUAGAGAAGCGGUAUCUAACGAGAAAGCCACGGCUAACUACGUGCCAGCAGCCGCGGUAAUAC
This 403-nucleotide ribosomal RNA is filed under the name uncultured bacterium. RNAcentral's name for it is "partial 16S ribosomal RNA". It matches the Rfam family "Bacterial small subunit ribosomal RNA", at positions 28 to 526 of the family's 1533-position model. The record is from RNAcentral.